UACAGAGGUCCCGAGCGUUGUUCGGAUUCAUUGGGCGUAAAGAGCUCGUAGGCGGUUUGUUGCGUCGGCUGUGAAAUCCCGAGGCUCAACCUCGGGUCUGCAGUCGAUACGAGCAAACUAGAGUGUUGCAGGGGAGACUGGAAUUCCUGGUGUAGCGGUGAAAUGCGCAGAUAUCAGGAGGAACACCGGUGGCGAAGGCGGGUCUCUGGGCAACAACUGACGCUGAGGAGCGAAAGCGUGGGGAGCGAACAGG
Molecule: ribosomal RNA, 253 nt
Filed under: uncultured bacterium
Lineage: Bacteria
Description: partial 16S ribosomal RNA
Rfam family: Bacterial small subunit ribosomal RNA
Source: RNAcentral